Xenia sp. Carnegie-2017 is the source of this 96-nucleotide long non-coding RNA. RefSeq lists it as uncharacterized. NCBI's taxonomy places the organism in Eukaryota, Metazoa, Cnidaria, Anthozoa, Malacalcyonacea, Xeniidae. The record is from RefSeq and is a predicted model, not a curated record. The transcript has 3 exons.
CUUGUUUUACAUUGAUUUGUUGGACGUACAUUGUUUUACAUUGCUCAAUGAUGUUUAAUGUUCUUCUAAAUUGUUCUAUGUACUCUGCGUUUAUAC